GGAGUCUCCAAACCCAGCAGAUUCCUGCCUCCAGAGAAGGAAGGACUUCCAGUAUAAUAAUGUUGAAUAGGGGGAGGAACAAGAUGGCAGAGGAGUAGGAGACCUAAAUUUCAUCUGGUCCCAGGAAUUCAGAUGAAGAUAGUGAGGUACAGAAAGGUUACAUAA
Molecule: long non-coding RNA, 165 nt
Organism: Lutra lutra (Eurasian river otter)
Lineage: Eukaryota; Metazoa; Chordata; Mammalia; Carnivora; Mustelidae
Exons: 3
Source: RefSeq, a predicted model, not a curated record